This 496-nucleotide ribosomal RNA is filed under the name uncultured bacterium. Its description in RNAcentral is "partial 16S ribosomal RNA". It matches the Rfam family "Bacterial small subunit ribosomal RNA", at positions 29 to 507 of the family's 1533-position model. The record is from RNAcentral.
AUGAACGCUGGCGGCGUGCCUAAUACAUGCAAGUCGAGCGAACAGACGAGGAGCUUGCUCCUCUGACGCUAGCGGCGGACGGGUGAGUAACACGUGGAUAACCUACCUAUAAGACUGGGAUAACUUCGGGAAACCGGAGCUAAUACCGGAUAAUAUAUUGAACCGCAUGGUUCAAUAGUGAAAGACGGUUUUGCUGUCACUUAUAGAUGGAUCCGCGCCGCAUUAGCUAGUUGGUAAGGUAACGGCUUACCAAGGCAACGAUGCGUAGCCGACCUGAGAGGGUGAUCGGCCACACUGGAACUGAGACACGGUCCAGACUCCUACGGGAGGCAGCAGUAGGGAAUCUUCCGCAAUAGGCGAAAGCCUGACGGAGCAACGCCGCGUGAGUGAUGAAGGUCUUCGGAUCGUAAAACUCUGUUAUUAGGGAAGAACAAAUGUGUAAGUAACUAUGCACGUCUUGACGGUACCUAAUCAGAAAGCCACGGCUAACUACGUG